UACGUAGGUGACAAGCGUUGUCCGGAUUUACUGGGCGUAAAGAGCGCGCAGGCGGUCGUUCAAGUCGAGUGUGAAAGCCCCCGGCUCAACUGGGGAGGGUCAUUCGAUACUGAUCGACUCGAAGGCAGGAGAGGGUAGUGGAAUUCCCGGUGUAGUGGUGAAAUGCGUAGAUAUCGGGAGGAACACCAGUGGCGAAGGCGACUACCUGGCCUGUUCUUGACGCUGAGGCGCGAAAGCUAGGGGAGCAGACGGG
This 253-nucleotide ribosomal RNA is filed under the name uncultured bacterium. RNAcentral describes it as "partial 16S ribosomal RNA". It matches the Rfam family "Bacterial small subunit ribosomal RNA", at positions 524 to 776 of the family's 1533-position model. The record is from RNAcentral.